AGCGAACGCUGGCGGCAGGCCUAACACAUGCAAGUCGAACGAACCUUUCGGGGUUAGUGGCGGACGGGUGUGUAACACGUGGGAACGUGCCUUUAGGUUCGGCAUAACUCAGGGAAACUUGUGCUAAUACCGAAUGUGCCCUUCGGGGGAAAGAUUUAUCGCCUCUCGUGCGGCCCUCGUCUGAUUCGCUAGUUGGUUGAGGUAAUGGCUCACCAAGGCGACGAUCAGUAGCUGGUCUGAGAGGAUGAUCAGCCACAUUGGGACUGAGACACGGCCCAAACUCCUACGGGAGGCAGCAGUGGGGAAUCUUGCGAAAUGGGCGAAAGCCUGACGCAGCCAUGCCGCGUGAAUGAUGAAGGUCUUAGGAUAGUAAAAUUCUUUCACCGGGGACGAUAAUGACGGUACCCGGAGAAGAAGCCCCGGCUAACUUCGUG
This 434-nucleotide ribosomal RNA is filed under the name uncultured bacterium. Its description in RNAcentral is "partial 16S ribosomal RNA". It matches the Rfam family "Bacterial small subunit ribosomal RNA", at positions 29 to 507 of the family's 1533-position model. The record is from RNAcentral.